RNAcentral lists this ribosomal RNA (253 nucleotides) under uncultured bacterium. RNAcentral's name for it is "partial 16S ribosomal RNA". It matches the Rfam family "Bacterial small subunit ribosomal RNA", at positions 524 to 776 of the family's 1533-position model. The record is from RNAcentral.
UACGUAGGGUCCGAGCGUUGUCCGGAAUUACUGGGCGUAAAGAGCUCGUAGGUGGUUUGUCGCGUUGUUCGUGAAAACUCACAGCUUAACUGUGGGCGUGCGGGCGAUACGGGCAGACUGGAGUACUGCAGGGGAGACUGGAAUUCCUGGUGUAGCGGUGAAAUGCGCAGAUAUCAGGAGGAACACCGGUGGCGAAGGCGGGUCUCUGGGCCGAUACUGACGCUGAGGAGCGAAAGCGUGGGGAGCGAACAGG